This 443-nucleotide ribosomal RNA is filed under the name uncultured bacterium. RNAcentral describes it as "partial 16S ribosomal RNA". It matches the Rfam family "Bacterial small subunit ribosomal RNA", at positions 338 to 795 of the family's 1533-position model. The record is from RNAcentral.
CCUACGGGUGGCAGCAGUGGGGAAUAUUGGGCAAUGGGCGCAAGCCUGACCCAGCAACGCCGCGUGAAGGAAGAAGGCCCUCGGGUUGUAAACUUCUUUUAACAGGGACGAAGAAAGUGACGGUACCUGGUGAAUAAGCCACGGCUAACUACGUGCCAGCAGCCGCGGUAAUACGUAGGUGGCAAGCGUUAUCCGGAUUUACUGGGUGUAAAGGGCGUGUAGGCGGGAGAGCAAGUCAGACGUGAAAUUCCAGGGCUCAACCCUGGAACUGCGUUUGAAACUGUUCUUCUUGAGUGCUGGAGAGGCAGGCGGAAGUCCGUGUGUAGCGGUGAAAUGCGUAGAUAUACGGAGGAACACCAGUGGCGAAGGCGGCCUGCUGGACAUUAACUGACGCUGAGGCACGAAAGCGUGGGGAGCAAACAGGAUUAGAUACCCGGGUAGUC